UAUCAUGUCCUCCCUUAACCUUUGCUUCUCCAGACUAAACAUCCCCAGCUCCCUAAGCGUCUCUUCAUAGGGCAUGGGGCAUGGGUUCCAGAUGACAUGGGGCAGCCCCAAAGCAGGGGUGGGAACCAUGCGAAGUCCCCCCCCUCACCAGUUUAAACCCAUGGGUAAUCCGUGUUUAUUGGCCUGUGCAGAAAGGGCCUAAGUUUACAUAUCCCAGUUUGAUUCUCAGUCUUCUCUUAGGGGUUUUGAAGGGCACCCCCCUGUAAGUUGAAAGCACCAUAGGGAUAAGUUUGAGAGAGCACAACUGCCUGCCAUGUUCAGAGCCCAUUUCCGUCAUGGAGGCAGAACAGGCAUAGUUCCAAGGCCAACCAUCACUUCAAAAGUACUUUAUCAAAGCAAUAUGACGAUGUUUCCACUUAAUGGGCAAUCACACCUGAGCCAACAUGCAGCCAAACCUGCAGUUGACUGAUAUUCCCUACUUUGGAAUGUCUGGUAUCAUUUCCAACGUUUUCCACCAAAUUUUGAUGAGUAACUUCAAACUGCCUGGUCAAAUCUAACUUUGUGUCUUGAACCAAUAAUGAUCAUGGGACAUUUCCCAUCAAGAUUCAUUAAAAAUGUUUGCCAGGUUUCCCGCAUUCGCUGGAGACCUCUGCAACUGAUUUGCAGGGCCCUCUCACUGUCUUUCUCAUUGGACUUAUGCUCUACAGACUGCAAUUCUCAGGUAAUAUUGGCUUCCUCUCUCCUCCCAUUCCCUUCCCCCCAUUCUUAGCUUUGUGUGCCUGCAUGUGCUAGGAGUUCAGGGAUCUGCUCUCUCAGCCCAAUCUGGGAGAGGGUCAGGUUCACCUUAGGAGUUGGUGCAACCCUGGACCCACAUUGGUGCCCACUGUGCCAGCACAAGAGGAAAAGACACCCGUAGAGGGGUGAGAUAAGCACCCGACCCUGGAAGCCACUGCCAUUCCUCUGCACCACCAGUGCAGAAAGAUUCAAUAGCAUGGCUAGGGGUAUUCCGGGUUUGUGUCCGGGGGUGGAGCUGACCGUAGGCUUCUCCUGCUCUCCCAGCCCCCCAUGCACUGAUGCAGCCCCAUUAUCCCCUAUGGGAGAUCUUGGCCAGCCAGGGUUUGCUUUUUGUUUCUGGGGUUCCUGCUCUGCAGAGAAGCCCUUUGGCGGUGUUGGAACGGUGCCACAGCAGCACCACAUCCCACUCCCUGAAAGGUCUGGAUUGGGCUGUCAGCUGCUUAGUGGAGGUUUUUUGGAGGUUUACUCCUUUGCAUUCUAUUUUGCGUCCCAUAAAAUUGCAAUUAUAAUAACUUCAUUAUUUUAUUUCAGGGUACCCCUACAGUGAUCUAUUAUGGUAUUUACAGACUGCCAUUUCCUGUGUUAUUCCUUUCUGGAACAAUUUUUAAACUAAUCCCCCCCACCCUGUGUUCAUUUUGGAGUAGUGCUCAAGAGAUUCAGUCAAAGAGGCAGUUUUGAGCUGCAUUAAGAACUCAUAUGAUGCAGAAAUCUCUUGACAGUUCAAGAGUGUGGAAAAGAGUUGAGUUUGGGCAGCAUCCUUCAAUAGCAUCUAAUACAGAGGAGAAAACGUUUGAAUGCACAGAUUGUGGGUAGAGUCUUGGAGCUGCAGAUGCUUCUGUGGCUUUGAGGAAAGACAUGAUGUGGAGGGGGUGGAGAGUGUCUUUGCUGUCUCUCCAUUAAUACUCUAGACAAUAAUUGGGGGGCAUCAUCCCCUGUUGGUUCCAGUCCUAUCUGGCUGAUGAGCGCCAGAAGUGGGGCUACAGGAUCCCUGCUUGAUGCAUGCCACAGGGUCCACAAGGGAUCUCUCUUGCUCCUCUGUGCUUUGGUUCUGGAAUGUUAUGGUGGACUGAGAAGUCCAAAUGGUGUCUCUGAUGGAAUCUUUGUUCAGCCCUUUGGACGGGAUCUCUAUCCAGUGUCCUUCCUUCUGACAGGAGGCUGACUCCAAGAUUUACCCCGGAACUGGAAGAAGGACCAAGACUGAACAGAGUGACUCUUUCCUAAGCCCAUCAAAGUAAACUUUCCUUUUGACCACA
Long non-coding RNA from Sphaerodactylus townsendi, 2048 nucleotides. RefSeq lists it as uncharacterized. NCBI's taxonomy places the organism in Eukaryota, Metazoa, Chordata, Lepidosauria, Squamata, Sphaerodactylidae. The transcript is spliced from 2 exons. The record is from RefSeq and is a predicted model, not a curated record.